GGUGAUUCAGUUAUCGUAGAUGUUGAUUCUGAUGGGAAUGUUACUGUGCUCAAUGGUAGUAGUGGUGCUCCUGAAUCGUUGGAGGAACCAAUUCCUGUUGUCUAAUCCGGACCCUGUUUUCUUUAUUGAUGUUGUUUGUACCUUUUUCACUGUAACUGGCUAUUUAUGAUGGUAGUCUCUUUCUUGAAAGCACUGCUGGGCAUUAGAGUGGGAAGCUUAGGCAGCCAUUAUUUGAUUGAUUUUGGGCUUUAAAGCUGUAUUUGUUACUCAUAAGUAGUUUGGUUUUCAUGCUUCAGUUGCAGGGGCAGAUAGGAGGAAGUCGGGGUGGGUUAGGCUUUGCAGAUUAUAUUUAAGGAUGUACUGACUGAUAGGGUUAGGCUUUACAUGGUUUUUACACUGCCACGGGCUGCAGAACUCAAUUACCAUUGCAUAUUCAUGCAUGCAAGUGUCUUUCAUCCUUCUUGGUAUUGGUAUGUAAGUUGUAUAUCUUGUAUUCACCUUAAGUUUCUAUAGAUCUAAAUAGACUAUAACCUCUCUAACUGGCAGCUGUUUCAAUUCAAUGCGUCAUCCAAGUACAAGACACUAACAGACUAAUAUGAUUUUGGUUGGAUUCAUCUUAUAUUUUUUAAACUAAUAUGGUUUAGGAAGCCUAACAGAUAAUGUUCUAGAUGAGAAUACGAUAUUCAAGGCGUUUUCAUAAUCAACAUAUACAUAUAUGAACAAGAUGUUUGAGUUCUUAUGACCCAGAAAAGCAGCAGGAAAUUUUUUUUUUUACUCAGUGGGUGCUCACUGAGCACUACAAAGAGCGAAGUAUCGGGUAUUGCUAGCCAUUAUAAGCUGCAUGAGAUUGUCGGUUUGUAGGACUGACACUUGAACCCCGACUCAACUUGAGUGCCUCCAAAGCCUUCUGUAUCUCCAUAUUCAUGGCACUAUCCACACUCCCUGAUGAUAGUUUCUUGUGUGAUUUCUGCAAAUGAAGCUUAAGUGAGCUACUACUCAGACCAGCAUUCUUUCCACAGAUAGGACACACUUUCAUCAUUGGUCUUCUAUGCUGCCAUUCCAUAGACAUCCUCCCAUAUAGUUUGUGAUCAAGAU
RNAcentral lists this long non-coding RNA (1095 nucleotides) under Carica papaya (papaya). Its description in RNAcentral is "long non-coding RNA (CPAP_LNC012516)". The record is from RNAcentral. Lineage: Eukaryota; Viridiplantae; Streptophyta; Magnoliopsida; Brassicales; Caricaceae.